AAUGAACGUUGGCGGCGUGGAUUAGGCAUGCAAGUCGUGCGAGAAACCAAUUAGCUUGCUAUGAGGUGGACAGCGGCGAAAGGGAGAGUAACGCGUGGUUACGUGCCCUCGGGACCGGGAUAGUGUCGGGAAACUGGCAGUAAUACCGGAUAACAUCUUUGGAUCAAAUGGUGUGAUUCCGCCCGAGGAUCGGACCGCGUACUAUUAGCUUGUUGGCGGGGUAACGGCCCACCAAGGCUGCGAUGGUUACCGGUGUGAGAGCAUGGCCCGGCUCACUGGGACUGAGACACUGCCCAGACAUCUACGGAUGGCUGCAGUCGAGAAUCUUCGGCAAUGGACGAAAGUCUGACCGAGCGACGCCGCGUGCGGGAUGAAGGCCCUCGGGUUGUAAACCGCUGUCAGUUAGGAGGAAAUGCAUGAGGGUUCUCUCUCAUGUUUGACCGAUUUUCAGAGGAAGGACGGGCUAAGUUCGUG
This 474-nucleotide ribosomal RNA is filed under the name uncultured bacterium. RNAcentral describes it as "bacterial SSU rRNA". It matches the Rfam family "Bacterial small subunit ribosomal RNA", at positions 29 to 507 of the family's 1533-position model. The record is from RNAcentral.